CCUACGGGGGGCAGCAGUGAGGAAUAUUUGUCAAUGGACGCAAGCCUGAACCAGCCAUGCCGCGUGCAGGAAGACGGCUCUAUGAGUUGUAAACUGCUUUUGUACGAGAGUAAACGCAGAUACGCGUAUCUGUCUGAAAGUAUAGUACGAAUAAGGAUCGGCUAACUCCGUGCCAGCAGCCGCGGUAAUACGGAGGAUUCAAGCGUUAUCCGGAUUUAUUGGGUUUAAAGGGUGCGUAGGCGGUCGGAUAAGUUAGAGGUGAAAUCCCGAGGCUGAACUUAGGAACUGCCUUUGAUACUGUUCGGCUAGAGAGUAGUUGAGGUAGGCGGAAUGUAUGGUGUAGCGGUGAAAUGCUUAGAGAGCAUACAGAACACCGAUUGCGAAGGCAGCUUACCAAGCUAUUUCUGACGUUGAGGCACGAAAGCGUGGGGAGCAAACAGGAUUAGAUACCCUUGUAGUC
RNAcentral lists this ribosomal RNA (460 nucleotides) under uncultured bacterium. RNAcentral describes it as "partial 16S ribosomal RNA". It matches the Rfam family "Bacterial small subunit ribosomal RNA", at positions 338 to 795 of the family's 1533-position model. The record is from RNAcentral.